RNAcentral lists this ribosomal RNA (164 nucleotides) under uncultured bacterium. RNAcentral's name for it is "partial 16S rRNA". It matches the Rfam family "Bacterial small subunit ribosomal RNA", at positions 355 to 512 of the family's 1533-position model. The record is from RNAcentral.
UAGGGAAUCUUCCACAAUGGGCGAAAGCCUGAUGGAGCAACGCCGCGUGUGUGAUGAAGGCUUUCGGUUGUAAAGCACUGUUGUAUGGGAAGAACAGCUAGAAUAGGAAAUGAUUUUAGUUUGACGGUACCAUACCAGAAAGGGACGGCUAAAUACGUGCCAGG